RNAcentral lists this ribosomal RNA (593 nucleotides) under uncultured bacterium. Its description in RNAcentral is "bacterial SSU rRNA". It matches the Rfam family "Bacterial small subunit ribosomal RNA", at positions 8 to 568 of the family's 1533-position model. The record is from RNAcentral.
AGAGUUUGAUUAUGGCUCAGGAUGAACGCUGGCGGCGUGCCUAAUACAUGCAAGUCGAACGAAACUUCUUUAUCACCGAGUGCUUGCACUCACCGAUAAAGAGUUGAGUGGCGAACGGGUGAGUAACACGUGGGCAACCUGCCCAAAAGAGGGGGAUAACACUUGGAAACAGGUGCUAAUACCGCAUAACCAUAGUUACCGCAUGGUAACUAUGUAAAAGGUGGCUAUGCUACCGCUUUUGGAUGGGCCCGCGGCGCAUUAGCUAGUUGGUGGGGUAAAGGCUUACCAAGGCAAUGAUGCGUAGCCGAACUGAGAGGUUGAUCGGCCACAUUGGGACUGAGACACGGCCCAAACUCCUACGGGAGGCAGCAGUAGGGAAUCUUCCACAAUGGGCGAAAGCCUGAUGGAGCAACGCCGCGUGGGUGAAGAAGGUCUUCGGAUCGUAAAACCCUGUUGUUAGAGAAGAAAGUGCGUGAGAGUAACUGUUCACGUUUCGACGGUAUCUAACCAGAAAGCCACGGCUAACUACGUGCCAGCAGCCGCGGUAAUACGUAAGUGGCAAGCGUUAUCCGGAUUUAUUGGGCGUAAAGGGA